GCUGGCGGCGUGCCUAAUACAUGCAAGUCGAGCGAACAGAUAAGGAGCUUGCUCCUUUGACGUUAGCGGCGGACGGGUGAGUAACACGUGGGUAACCUACCUAUAAGACUGGGAUAACUUCGGGAAACCGGAGCUAAUACCGGAUAACAUUUGGAACCGCAUGGUUCUAAAGUGAAAGAUGGUUUUGCUAUCACUUAUAGAUGGACCCGCGCCGUAUUAGCUAGUUGGUAAGGUAACGGCUUACCAAGGCGACGAUACGUAGCCGACCUGAGAGGGUGAUCGGCCACACUGGAACUGAGACACGGUCCAGACUCCUACGGGAGGCAGCAGUAGGGAAUCUUCCGCAAUGGGCGAAAGCCUGACGGAGCAACGCCGCGUGAGUGAUGAAGGGUUUCGGCUCGUAAAACUCUGUUAUUAGGGAAGAACAAANUGUGUAAGUAAC
Molecule: ribosomal RNA, 442 nt
Filed under: Staphylococcus saprophyticus
Lineage: Bacteria; Bacillati; Bacillota; Bacilli; Caryophanales; Staphylococcaceae
Description: bacterial SSU rRNA
Rfam family: Bacterial small subunit ribosomal RNA
Source: RNAcentral